This 446-nucleotide ribosomal RNA is filed under the name uncultured bacterium. RNAcentral's name for it is "partial 16S ribosomal RNA". It matches the Rfam family "Bacterial small subunit ribosomal RNA", at positions 27 to 507 of the family's 1533-position model. The record is from RNAcentral.
GGACGAACGCUGGCGGCGUGCCUAAUGCAUGCAAGUCGCACGGGCCUCCUUCGGGAGGUCAGUGGCGAACGGCUGAGUAUCACGUACGAAUCUACUCCGGUGUGGGGGACAACACGGCGAAAGCCGUGCUAAUCCCGCAUACGCUCCCAGGAGGAAAGCGUGAGCAAUCACGCGCACCGGAAUGAGCGUGCGGCCCAUCAGGUAGUUGGUGUGGUAAUGGCGCACCAAGCCCGUGACGGGUAGCUGGUCUGAGAGGACGAUCAGCCAGACUGGGACUGUGACACGGCCCAGACUCCUACGGGAGGCAGCAGCAAGGAAUUUUUGGCAAUGGGCGCAAGCCUGACCAAGCAACGCCGCGUGCGGGAUGACGGCCUUCGGGUUGUAAACCGCUUUUAUGGGGGAAGAAUCAGACGGUACCCCAUGAAUCAGCCCCGGCUAACUCUGUG